This 520-nucleotide ribosomal RNA is filed under the name uncultured bacterium. RNAcentral's name for it is "bacterial SSU rRNA". It matches the Rfam family "Bacterial small subunit ribosomal RNA", at positions 336 to 871 of the family's 1533-position model. The record is from RNAcentral.
CGCUUACGGGAGGCAGCAGUGGGGAAUUUUCCGCAAUGGGCGAAAGCCUGACGGAGCAAUACCGCGUGAGGGAUGACUGCCUAUGGGUUGUAAACCUCUUUUUUCAGGGAGGAAUCAAUGACGUUACCUGAAGAAUAAGCAUCGGCUAACUCCGUGCCAGCAGCCGCGGUAAGACGGAGGAUGCAAGUGUUAUCCGGAAUCACUGGGCGUAAAGCGUCUGUAGGUGGUUUAAUAAGUCAACUGUUAAAUCUUGAGGCUCAACCUCGAAAUCGCAGUCGAAACUAUUAGACUAGAGUAUAGUAGGGGUAAAGGGAAUUUCCAGUGGAGCGGUGAAAUGCGUAGAGAUUGGAAAGAACACCGAUGGCGAAGGCACUUUACUGGGCUAUUACUAACACUCAGAGACGAAAGCUAGGGUAGCAAAUGGGAUUAGAUACCCCAGUAGUCCUAGCCGUAAACAAUGGAUACUAGAUGUUGAACAGAUCGACCUGUGCAGUAUCAAAGCUAACGCGUAAGUAUCCCG